RNAcentral lists this ribosomal RNA (467 nucleotides) under uncultured bacterium. RNAcentral's name for it is "partial 16S ribosomal RNA". It matches the Rfam family "Bacterial small subunit ribosomal RNA", at positions 28 to 507 of the family's 1533-position model. The record is from RNAcentral.
GACGAACGCUGGCGGCGUGCUUAACACAUGCAAGUCGAACGAUGACGACCGAGCUUGCUCGGUCUGAUUAGUGGCGAACGGGUGAGUAACACGUGAGCAACCUGCCCUUCACUCUGGGAUAACCUCGGGAAAUCGGGGCUAAUACCGGAUAUGAGCUCCUGUAGCAUGGCGGGUGUUGGAAAGUUUUUCGGUGAAGGAUGGGCUCGCGGCCUAUCAGUUUGUUGGUGAGGUGGUGGCUCACCAAGGCGAUGACGGGUAGCCGGCCUGAGAGGGCGACCGGCCACACUGGGACUGAGACACGGCCCAGACUCCUACGGGAGGCAGCAGUGGGGAAUAUUGCACAAUGGGCGAAAGCCUGAUGCAGCGACGCCGCGUGAGGGAUGACGGCCUUCGGGUUGUAAACCUCUUUCAGCAGGGAAGAAGCGAAAGUGACGGUACCUGCAGAAGAAGCGCCGGCUAACUACGUG